UAAUGCACUCUGUUUACAGCGCGAUUUUGGCACAAGCCACCAUAGCGUAGCGAAAGCAGACGCAGGCGCAUAGUUGCCCAAACAGUCGUUGACGUCAGGAGCGGUGGGCGGGCUUGAUUGUGCGCUUCCGCUAGGAAGAGGACUGUGAUCAUGGACGAAUUCGCUCUGGGCUGAUCGGCAGGCUCAACAUGGGAGCUUCUAGGGGCCUCCCGUAAGCGCACCUUGUUUUCCUCUGUCCACACGGCCAUACCAGGAAAGGUGAACAAGGACAGUAAUGGGCGAGCACAUACCGGUGCUUCUAGUCACGGCCAACGUAGGAUCCAUCUUUGAAGAGCCUCGAACGCUUUUGCCGGGAUGGAUAGGCGAGUUCCUUCGGACGGUGAAGCAGUAUCAGCCCAGUUUUUUGGCUCUACAUUGUCAAGAAGUAGGUGGGAAAAACUACGAAAGGACCAUGCCCCACGUUUCCGACUUCAUCAGAACUCUCAUGGGCAGCGAGGAGCUCUCAAGUUACACAGCAGUCCAAGUGUUCUUGGACGAAGACUUCUCCUGUGUAGAAAAAUUUACGGCCUUGGGCAACUUGUACUUUGUCCAUCAGUCAUUGAGAAACCCCCAGAUCUGGGAUUUUCAAGAGUGCUGCUUUCGACCAGUCAUGGCAAAGGAGAUUCAUUCUGGAAACAUAGAGAAGGUGUUCACCAAAGAAAAGGUUAAGUUUCCCCAGGAACUGUUUCCAGAGUGCAAGUGGUCAAGAAAAGGCUUUAUGCGAACAAGGUGGAGCUUGCAAGGCACAAUAUUUGACCUAGUCAAUAUCCAUCUUUUCCAUGAUGAAUCAAACUUCAUAGCCAUGGAAUGUUUCCCGUCUUCUUACACAAAAAAUAGACAAGGAGCACUUGACUACACUCUGAACAGGAUCCAGAAUGACAAGUAUGAAAAUGUUCCAUUCUUCAUCUUUGGAGACUUCAAUUUUAGACUUGACACGCAGGCCGUCAUAGAGAAAGUUACUGAUAAGGCCCCUCCAGUUCAAGUGAAAAGUGCCAAAAAUGGAGAUGUCACAAAAGUUCUCUUCAGGGAUCCUAAAGAUGAGAAUAAGGUGGUGCUUACAGUGGAAAGAAAAGUGUUCUCUCUUCAAGACCAUGAGGAGGCUUUCUACCGAAAUGAUGGAAAAUGGCUCCAAGAGCAUGACAAAGAACCGAGCCUGUUCCAGGACCGUCUUUUUGAAUUUGACAUUGCCUUCCCGCCAAGCUAUCCAUUCAAAGAGGAGUCCUCGGGUCCCCGCAGUUACAUGCGGACACGCUGUCCUGCCUGGUGUGACCGCAUUUUGCUCAGCAAAUCGGCCAAGACCCUGGUGUACACGGGCCCUGACGAAGGUGGCAAGGCAUCUGUGGUGUACCACAUAAUGGGGCCGAAUGUGUGCAUGGGCGACCACAAGCCUGUGGUGCUGUGGUUCCGCAUGGUCCCUGCUGCAGCAUUGUGUUUGCAUUAAACGUGGUAGUCGGAGUUUUUCGUCGUGUCUAGGUGCAUGAGGCCUCUAGUCAACAACCCAGUCAGAACAGGUUUGACAUGCCCUUUUGUGUUGACAAUAGCCAUUGGGGUUACCUGCAGCAUAUGCUUAGGCAUGCUUUGUCAUCAAGAUGCGCUUAGGGAUCACAACAUUGUGAGUUGUCUUGCAGAAAGAUGUGACCUUGGAAUGGAGCUUUACAUUGGCAUUGUAAGGUGCUGAAUUAUGUUAGCCACAGUACGAAGAGUUAUCUAAAGAGUUAUGUGUAAUACCAUUAAGGAAAGAUUUUGACAGAAGCAUCCUAAUUUUCUAACAUUACCAUUUUACCCUUCUUACAAGGAAGUGCUACAUUUGACAAGUUAGCACUACUUUAAAAAAACCCAUGCGUGUCUGGUUUGCCUGCGACUACAGUCAAGUGAUGUUUUAACAGUGGAGUUUUUCAGCUUUUAGUUCCGCCGUGGAGCAUUACCAGAAAACUCAGCCCAGCUGUGCGCCGCCUCACGUAGCCUAGUAACCACCUGCGAGAGCACCGAGCCAUGUAACCUCCUUGCACCCCACAUGUGUGGGGUGGAGUUGUGAGGUCACAGGCAAGUAAAAGAUUGGAACUGCUGGCACAACGACACCUCUCGCCUCUGUACUCCGUGCAUACGUGCUGCCAUGGGAAGACCAAAGAAAGUCUGAACGCGGGAAAAAGAAGUGGCUUACCAGAAAGAGCACCGUACGGCCAAACGAGAAGCGAUGUGUCGAUGCAAAGCUAAUCUGGAACACCGCGCCAAAGCUGCGGCUGAGAAGAGGCAAUGCUGAGUCGAGGAUCCCGAGUUUCAGUCCAGGGAACGCGAGAGUUGGCGCCGGAACGCUUGACAUCGCCGAGAAAGUGAUCCCGGCCUGCGACUGCUUGAAAACUUAUAGCGUCAAGCCCGCUGAGAGAACAACUUAGCAAAACCUAGCAUAACCUCGCAAAACUUAGAAACAACUUAGCCAAUCCUACCAUAACCUCGCAAAACCUACAAACAACUUAGGCAAGCCAUGUAAAAGCUAGGUGAUCACAAGCUCCACUGUUGACUCCAGCCUUGCACCAGUAGUGCAAGCUGCGCACAUUUUUUAUCUACCAUUGGCGUUCCACUUCAUCAUUGCUGCUGCCAAGUCAUAGCUCUGCAGGGUUUUUAUAGCUCCAACAGUGGGCAGUAAACUCCUCUCAUUGUUGCUGCGUUUUUUUUUCUCACCUCAACUAUUUUAUAGCUUUAGAUGCCUUGAUCAGCACUGCUUUUUUUUUUUUUCGUACUUUUACAUAUUAUAAUUGUAUUUUACAGUGUCAGCUAUUAAGAGCUCAUCCAUGGAUCUUGUUUGUACAUGCAAAUUUCAAUUAUUGCUCCAGGCAGACAUGAAGACAUUUUUAUGUGAAACUUGGCAGGAACAGAGUAUACCUUGUUAAGAUGCUGGUGAGAGCCCUAAAGAAUGUGUGGUGAAAUCCUAAAGAACCGUAAUUAAUUACCAAAGUGUCAAUAAACAAUGGUUGCUGGAGCCUACAGGCUAUUUUCAAAAAUAUUGUUUCAGGUAGAGUACAAUAUGUAUCAGGAUGAAACUUUCCAGGUACCAUGUUGACUAAAAAGACAUUUUCUCCUAAAAGGCAGCAUACAAAAUGGAGUAUGCGCUAAAAGCUAAGAAAAAGAUGACAAAUAUGCACAUUUGAUUGCCCAUAUCGUGCCGUGUGGUUGCAAGGCACAAUUUUGUGAGACCACCAUCUUGGCCAAGUCUGCAAACCACACAACUUGAGUGUCUUUAGAAGCAUUCUUCAUCCAUAAGAAUUCAUGUAUCUGUAUAAGCAAAGCGUCUAUUCUUUUGCACAGUGCCAAACUGGACUUCUUGAACUCUAUUAUUUGAAAAAGGUAGCAGUAUUGCUAACUUUUUUUAGAUUUGUUUGUCACCUGCGCAUUGGCAAGGGGGCGUGGCAUUUGUACGUCGCUCACAUUAUAAAAUUGAAGGAUGUGUUGAUCAAAAUAAACAGUUGGUAGUAGCGCGUCUC
This 3518-nucleotide unclassified non-coding RNA is filed under the name Dermacentor andersoni. RNAcentral's name for it is "inositol polyphosphate-5-phosphatase A-like". Lineage: Eukaryota; Metazoa; Arthropoda; Arachnida; Ixodida; Ixodidae. The record is from RNAcentral.